Molecule: ribosomal RNA, 464 nt
Filed under: Vreelandella stevensii
Lineage: Bacteria; Pseudomonadati; Pseudomonadota; Gammaproteobacteria; Oceanospirillales; Halomonadaceae
Description: partial 16S ribosomal RNA
Rfam family: Bacterial small subunit ribosomal RNA
Source: RNAcentral
CCUACGGGGGGCUGCAGUGGGGAAUAUUGGACAAUGGGCGAAAGCCUGAUCCAGCCAUGCCGCGUGUGUGAAGAAGGCCUUCGGGUUGUAAAGCACUUUCAGUGGGGAAGAAAGCCUUGGGGCUAAUACCCUCGAGGAAGGACAUCACCCACAGAAGAAGCACCGGCUAACUCCGUGCCAGCAGCCGCGGUAAUACGGAGGGUGCGAGCGUUAAUCGGAAUUACUGGGCGUAAAGCGCGCGUAGGCGGUCUGAUAAGCCGGUUGUGAAAGCCCCGGGCUCAACCUGGGAACGGCAUCCGGAACUGUCAGGCUAGAGUGCAGGAGAGGAAGGUAGAAUUCCCGGUGUAGCGGUGAAAUGCGUAGAGAUCGGGAGGAAUACCAGUGGCGAAGGCGGCCUUCUGGACUGACACUGACGCUGAGGUGCGAAAGCGUGGGUAGCAAACAGGAUUAGAUACCCGGGUAGC